CAGUCGCCGCGGUAAUACGUAGGGUGCAAGCGUUAAUCGGAAUUACUGGGCGUAAAGCGUGCGCAGGCGGUUAUAUAAGACAGAUGUGAAAUCCCCGGGCUCAACCUGGGAACUGCAUUUGUGACUGUAUAGCUAGAGUACGGCAGAGGGGGAUGGAAUUCCGCGUGUAGCAGUGAAAUGCGUAGAGAUGUGGAGGAAUACCGAUGGCGAAGGCAGCCCCCUGGGCCAAUACUGACGCUCAUGCACGAAAGCGUGGGGAGCAAACAGGAUUAGAUACCCCAGUAGUCCCUGUCUCUUAUAC
RNAcentral lists this ribosomal RNA (301 nucleotides) under uncultured bacterium. RNAcentral's name for it is "partial 16S ribosomal RNA". It matches the Rfam family "Bacterial small subunit ribosomal RNA", at positions 509 to 807 of the family's 1533-position model. The record is from RNAcentral.